AUCCAGUUGGCGAGUCCCAAAUAGGACGAAACGCGCGUCCUGGAU
Non-coding RNA from Schistosoma rodhaini, 45 nucleotides. Lineage: Eukaryota; Metazoa; Platyhelminthes; Trematoda; Strigeidida; Schistosomatidae. The record is from Rfam.